AAGUUCCUGUGCCCGGUGUGGUCUGGGAAUCGUGGCUCCUGCUGGAAUUACGGGUGUGGAUGUGGCUCUCCAGCUUCAAAUGUCAUUUCGUGUGGAAAACACAGUGACAAAGCCUGCCAGCAGCAUGGGCUUGGUCUCUCUCCAAGGAAAUAAAGCUGCGUGUUCCCACGGGGAACAGAGAAUUCCCAGCACAACUAAGGCAAAGAGGAAGGAGAACAGCUCAUGCUGCCCCCAGCGCCUCUCCAGGCUCUGAGGAUGGUUUUCCUCCUUCCCAAGGCCCACACAGCAAUAAAUUGUCCUGCAGUAUCAUGGGAAUGGUUAACCUUGAGUUGAGUUCACGCAACACCUCCUUCCCUGCAAGGUCGAAUUCCAAAUUGUCCUUUGGAGAGGAAUGAAAUAAAAAGUCAGCGCUUCUCCCUGGGCCACAAAGACUUUGCCUCCUUCUCCCGGAGAGCACCAAAUUCA
Non-coding RNA from Lonchura striata (white-rumped munia), 465 nucleotides. The record is from RefSeq and is a predicted model, not a curated record. NCBI's taxonomy places the organism in Eukaryota, Metazoa, Chordata, Aves, Passeriformes, Estrildidae.